UGGGGAAUUUUGGACAAUGGGCGAAAGCCUGAUCCAGCAAUGCCGCGUGUGUGAAGAAGGCCUUCGGGUUGUAAAGCACUUUUGUCCGGAAAGAAAUCCUUGGCUCUAAUACAGUCGGGGGAUGACGGUACCGGAAGAAUAAGCACCGGCUAACUACGUGCCAGCAGCCGCGGUAAUACGUAGGGUGCAAGCGUUAAUCGGAAUUACUGGGCGUAAAGCGUGCGCAGGCGGUUUGCUAAGACCGAUGUGAAAUCCCCGGGCUCAACCUGGGAACUGCAUUGGUGACUGGCAGGCUAGAGUAUGGCAGAGGGGGGUAGAAUUCCUACGUGUAGCAGUGAAAUGCGUAGAGAUGUGGAGGAAUACCGAUGGCGAAGGCAGCCCCCUGGGCCAAUACUGACGCUCAUGCACGAAAGCGUGGGGAGCAAACAGGAUUAGAUACCCUGGUAGUCCACGCCCUAAACGAUGUCAACUAGUUGUUGGGGAUUCAUUUCCUUAGUAACGUAGCUAACGCGUGAAGUUGACCGCCUGGGGAGUACGGUCGCAAGAUUAAAACUUAAAUGAAUUGACGGGGUCAUAGCUGUUUCCU
This 586-nucleotide ribosomal RNA is filed under the name uncultured bacterium. Its description in RNAcentral is "partial 16S ribosomal RNA". It matches the Rfam family "Bacterial small subunit ribosomal RNA", at positions 355 to 1375 of the family's 1533-position model. The record is from RNAcentral.